CAAAAAUGGGGAUUAAUUUUUACACUAAAAAUUUUAAUUUUUUAAAUUUUUAAUAUUUAUUACUGCCCCUAAAAAUUAAUUUUUUUUUAAAAAAUUAAAAUUUACCCCCAAAAUUUAUAGGGAAAAAAAGGGUAUAAAAAAUUUUUCAAACCCUAAGAAAAUUUUAUUU
This 169-nucleotide ribosomal RNA is filed under the name Antheraea assamensis (Indian muga silkmoth). RNAcentral describes it as "partial 12S ribosomal RNA". The record is from RNAcentral. Lineage: Eukaryota; Metazoa; Arthropoda; Insecta; Lepidoptera; Saturniidae.